Molecule: long non-coding RNA, 547 nt
Filed under: Mytilus galloprovincialis (Mediterranean mussel)
Lineage: Eukaryota; Metazoa; Mollusca; Bivalvia; Mytilida; Mytilidae
Source: RNAcentral
UAAAUUUUCUUUAGACCUUGAUUCUGUCAGUUGGGAUGAACUUUUUUCUGAUGUUGAGGAUGUUGACGAGAUGUGCAAUACAUUUACUCAAAAACUACUAGACAUAGCCAGGCAAAACAUCCCAACUCGACAUGUUUAUAUACGAAACAAUGACCGACCGUGGUUUGACAAUGAAUUAAGGAGAGAAAUUCGUAGAAGAGACCGAUUUCGUAAAAAAGCCUUAAAAACUAAAAAAGAUUGUGAUAUCAAUAAAUACAAAAAGCAGAGGAACAGAGUAAAUAAUAUGAAAAAGCUGCAAAAGAAAAAUUUGAAAGAAGUUUGGAUAAUCUUAUCUUAAAUAACGUGGCUAACCCUAAAACUUAUUGGAAAAUAAUGAAAAUGCUUAUAAAAUCAAAUAAAGGUUCUGGUGAUUUACCCCCACUCAAUAAUAUUAUUCACGAUGAAAGCAUGGAAGAUGUAGUGUACGGAGACGACGAGAAAUGUAAUCUGCUAAAUAAAUAUUUUAGUCUGAUUUCUUCCCUAGAGGAGGAAGGUGUUCCCAUACCCG